Long non-coding RNA from Silurus meridionalis, 399 nucleotides. RefSeq lists it as uncharacterized. Lineage: Eukaryota; Metazoa; Chordata; Actinopteri; Siluriformes; Siluridae. The record is from RefSeq and is a predicted model, not a curated record. The transcript has 5 exons.
UGGGAGAGGCCGAAGAAGAAGAAAGAAGAAGAAGAAGAAGGAGGAGAAGAAGACUCAAUAUAAUCAAAAAGUUUAAGAACCGGGAAAAGCUGAAAGGAAGUGACAUCUUCCCAGCCAACAUGUCCAGAAACGGUCAUCACUCACUAUCACAGGAGCACCUGACCUGACCUGGAUAACCUGACAUCUUUUUCACGGUAGCCUGAUGCAGAACCCUUUGCUGAAAACUGUCAUUAAGAAAGAGCUGGAGACAGCGCUUGGUAAAUGUUUCACAAAUGCAAGACACAGAGAAGGCAACCGUGCUUUGAGAGCCCAGCAGGACCAUGAUCGGAGGGCAGUACAGCCAGAAGUGUGUGCAGCCGAGGAAUCUGCAUAGACCCACCAGUGAACAAUUUUACUCAG